GGGUCAUUGAGUUUUCCUCCAUCCCUACAGGAAUCUCUGCAAGCAGUCCUCUUCAGACAUCCAUUGUCCGACCUGCUGGCCUUGCAGACUUUGGACCUUCAAGCGCCUCUUCUCCCUUAAGUUCCCCUCUGAACAAAGGAAAUAAUAUUCCUGGGACUCCUAAAAGCCUCCACAUGACCAGCAGCCUAGCCUCAGACCCCUUGAUCCGGAAACAGGGCAAAGGCACCAAUCCCUCUGGAGGACGGUAACCAUGGUAAUUAUCUCUGCCCUCUAGCUUCCUUCAACCAAACCAGGGACUGCAGUCCUGGGCCAUAGGUGGUCUUUGGAUGGCUUGCCCAGUGUGGCAUCUUGCAUCCUAUUUGGAGAGUGGAAAGGACCAGUUGUAGCA
RNAcentral lists this long non-coding RNA (388 nucleotides) under Rattus norvegicus (Norway rat). RNAcentral's name for it is "long non-coding RNA NONRATT019599". Lineage: Eukaryota; Metazoa; Chordata; Mammalia; Rodentia; Muridae. The record is from RNAcentral.